RNAcentral lists this ribosomal RNA (405 nucleotides) under uncultured bacterium. RNAcentral describes it as "partial 16S ribosomal RNA". It matches the Rfam family "Bacterial small subunit ribosomal RNA", at positions 30 to 526 of the family's 1533-position model. The record is from RNAcentral.
AUUGAACGCUGGCGGCAGGCUUAACACAUGCAAGUCGAACGAGUGGCGGACGGGUGAGUAAUGCUUGGGAAUCUAGCUUAUGGAGGGGGAUAACUAUGGGAAACUGUAGCUAAUACCGCGUACCAUAGGAUGAGCCCAAGUGGGAUUAGGUAGUUGGUGCGGUAAAGGCUCACCACGCCGACGAUCUCUAGCUGGUCUGCGAGGAUGACCAUCCAAACUGGGACUGAGACACGGCCCAGACGCCUACGGGAGGCAGCAUGGGGGAAUAUUGCGCAAUGGGGGCAACCUGACGCAGCCAUGCCGCGUGAAUGAAGAAGGCCUUCGGGUUGUAAAGUUCUUUCGGUAGCGAGGCGUUAACUACAGAAGAAGCACCGGCUAACUCCGUGCCAGCCGCCGCGGUAAUUC